Molecule: ribosomal RNA, 1372 nt
Filed under: uncultured bacterium
Lineage: Bacteria
Description: bacterial SSU rRNA
Rfam family: Bacterial small subunit ribosomal RNA
Source: RNAcentral
GAUGAACGCUGGCGGCGUGCCUAAUACAUGCAAGUCGAGCGAACGGACGAGAAGCUUGCUUCUCUGAUGUUAGCGGCGGACGGGUGAGUAACACGUGGAUAACCUACCUAUAAGACUGGGAUAACUUCGGGAAACCGGAGCUAAUACCGGAUAAUAUUUUGAACCGCAUGGUUCAAAAGUGAAAGACGGUCUUGCUGUCACUUAUAGAUGGAUCCGCGCUGCAUUAGCUAGUUGGUAAGGUAACGGCUUACCAAGGCAACGAUGCAUAGCCGACCUGAGAGGGUGAUCGGCCACACUGGAACUGAGACACGGUCCAGACUCCUACGGGAGGCAGCAGUAGGGAAUCUUCCGCAAUGGGCGAAAGCCUGACGGAGCAACGCCGCGUGAGUGACGAAGGUCUUCGGAUUGUAAAACUCUGUUAUUAGGGAAGAACAUAUGUGUAAGUAACUGUGCACAUCUUGACGGUACCUAAUCAGAAAGCCACGGCUAACUACGUGCCAGCAGCCGCGGUAAUACGUAGGUGGCAAGCGUUAUCCGGAAUUAUUGGGCGUAAAGCGCGCGUAGGCGGUUUUUUAAGUCUGAUGUGAAAGCCCACGGCUCAACCGUGGAGGGUCAUUGGAAACUGGAAAACUUGAGUGCAGAAGAGGAAAGUGGAAUUCCAUGUGUAGCGGUGAAAUGCGCAGAGAUAUGGAGGAACACCAGUGGCGAAGGCGACUUUCUGGUCUGUAACUGACGCUGAUGUGCGAAAGCGUGGGGAUCAAACAGGAUUAGAUACCCUGGUAGUCCAUGCCGUAAACGAUGAGUGCUAAGUGUUAGGGGGUUUCCGCCCCUUAGUGCUGCAGCUAACGCAUUAAGCACUCCGCCUGGGGAGUACGACCGCAAGGUUGAAACUCAAAGGAAUUGACGGGGACCCGCACAAGCGGUGGAGCAUGUGGUUUAAUUCGAAGCAACGCGAAGAACCUUACCAAAUCUUGACAUCCUUUGACAACUCUAGAGAUAGAGCUUUCCCCUUCGGGGGACAAAGUGACAGGUGGUGCAUGGUUGUCGUCAGCUCGUGUCGUGAGAUGUUGGGUUAAGUCCCGCAACGAGCGCAACCCUUAAGCUUAGUUGCCAUCAUUAAGUUGGGCACUCUAAGUUGACUGCCGGUGACAAACCGGAGGAAGGUGGGGAUGACGUCAAAUCAUCAUGCCCCUUAUGAUUUGGGCUACACACGUGCUACAAUGGACAAUACAAAGGGCAGCGAAACCGUGAGGUCAAGCAAAUCCCAUAAAGUUGUUCUCAGUUCGGAUUGUAGUCUGCAACUCGACUACAUGAAGCUGGAAUCGCUAGUAAUCGUAGAUCAGCAUGCUACGGUGAAUACGUUCCCGGGUCU